Molecule: ribosomal RNA, 876 nt
Filed under: Curvularia lunata
Lineage: Eukaryota; Fungi; Ascomycota; Dothideomycetes; Pleosporales; Pleosporaceae
Description: partial large subunit ribosomal RNA
Rfam family: Eukaryotic large subunit ribosomal RNA
Source: RNAcentral
GAGAAAGAACCAACAGGGAUUGCCCUAGUAACGGCGAGUGAAGCGGCAACAGCUCAAAUUUGAAAUCUGGCUCUUUCAGAGUCCGAGUUGUAAUUUGCAGAGGGCGCUUUGGCUUUGGCAGCGGUCCAAGUUCCUUGGAACAGGACGUCACAGAGGGUGAGAAUCCCGUACGUGGUCGCUAGCUAUUGCCGUGUAAAGCCCCUUCGACGAGUCGAGUUGUUUGGGAAUGCAGCUCUAAAUGGGAGGUAAAUUUCUUCUAAAGCUAAAUAUUGGCCAGAGACCGAUAGCGCACAAGUAGAGUGAUCGAAAGAUGAAAAGCACUUUGGAAAGAGAGUCAAACAGCACGUGAAAUUGUUGAAAGGGAAGCGCUUGCAGCCAGACUUGCUUGCAGUUGCUCAUCCGGGCUUUUGCCCGGUGCACUCUUCUGCAGGCAGGCCAGCAUCAGUUUGGGCGGUGGGAUAAAGGUCUCUGACACGUUCCUUCCUUCGGGUUGGCCAUAUAGGGGAGACGUCAUACCACCAGCCUGGACUGAGGUCCGCGCAUCUGCUAGGAUGCUGGCGUAAUGGCUGUAAGCGGCCCGUCUUGAAACACGGACCAAGGAGUCUAACAUCUAUGCGAGUGUUUGGGUGUCAAGCCCGAGCGCGUAAUGAAAGUGAACGGAGGUGGGAACCCGCAAGGGUGCACCAUCGACCGAUCCUGAAGUUUACGGAAGGAUUUGAGUAAGAGCAUGGCUGUUGGGACCCGAAAGAUGGUGAACUAUGCUUGAAUAGGGUGAAGCCAGAGGAAACUCUGGUGGAGGCUCGCAGCGGUUCUGACGUGCAAAUCGAUCGUCAAAUUUGGGCAUAGGGGCGAAAGACUAAUCGAACAUCAACGGCC